UCGGUGGGGAUUAGUGGCGAACGGGUGAGUAACACGUGGGCAAUCUGCCCUUCACUCUGGGACAAGCCCUGGAAACGGGGUCUAAUACCGGAUAGCACUCCUGCCCGCAUGGGUGGGGGUUGAAAGCUCCGGCGGUGAAGGAUGGGCCCGCGGCCUAUCAGCUUGUUGGUGAGGUAACGGCUCACCAAGGCGACGACGGGUAGCCGGCCUGAGAGGGCGACCGGCCACACUGGGACUGAGACACGGCCCAGACUCCUACGGGAGGCAGCAGUGGGGAAUAUUGCACAAUGGGCGCAAGCCUGAUGCAGCGACGCCGCGUGAGGGAUGACGGCCUUCGGGUUGUAAACCUCUUUCAGCAGGGAAGAAGCGCAAGUGACGGUACCUGCAGAAGAAGCGCCGGCUAACUACGUGCCAGCAGCCGCGGUAAUACGUAGGGCGCAAGCGUUGUCCGGAAUUAUUGGGCGUAAAGAGCUCGUAGGCGGCUAGUCACGUCGGGUGUGAAAGCCCGGGGCUUAACCCCGGGUCUGCAUUCGAUACGGGCUGGCUAGAGUGUGGUAGGGGAGAUCGGAAUUCCUGGUGUAGCGGUGAAAUGCGCAGAUAUCAGGAGGAACACCGGUGGCGAAGGCGGAUCUCUGGGCCAUUACUGACGCUGAGGAGCGAAAGCGUGGGGAGCGAACAGGAUUAGAUACCCUGGUAGUCCACGCCGUAAACGGUGGGAACUAGGUGUUGGCGACAUUCCACGUCGUCGGUGCCGCAGCUAACGCAUUAAGUUCCCCGCCUGGGGAGUACGGCCGCAAGGCUAAAACUCAAAGGAAUUGACGGGGCCCGCACAAGCAGCGGAGCAUGUGGCUUAAUUCGACGCAACGCGAAGAACCUUACCAAGGCUUGACAUACGCCGGAAAGCAUCAGAGAUGGUGCCCCCCUUGUGGUCGGUG
RNAcentral lists this ribosomal RNA (935 nucleotides) under Streptomyces pseudovenezuelae. RNAcentral's name for it is "bacterial SSU rRNA". It matches the Rfam family "Bacterial small subunit ribosomal RNA", at positions 82 to 1031 of the family's 1533-position model. Lineage: Bacteria; Bacillati; Actinomycetota; Actinomycetes; Kitasatosporales; Streptomycetaceae. The record is from RNAcentral.